UUAUGGGAUCGAAAAUUGUGAGGAUCGAGAUUGGUUUUUUCCUGUAUUUUUUUAGCGAGGAAUUGACUAUUUGGGGAGUGCAGCAUCGUGUGAUUGUGAGUCGGUGAAAGGACAGUCACGUGUGAUUCUGGUGAGUGUUGAGGUAGAGAUGGACACGUAGCGGUGGUUUUAUUUUUUGUAUUCGUUUUCCUAGAGAUCGGCAUUGUGUGGAACCGCAUAAGGACGGUCUUUCUGCUUAUGUAGCUAUGUUGGUAGCACGACGUGGUCCAGUUUGUGCAAUCGGUAUGACAGUCGAGGGUAUGCAAGGUAGAAUGGUGUACGUAAUUGGAUCUGUGUCCCGAGAUAUGAGUAGGGAUCUGUGAGCAAGGUGGUAGCUAGAUGUUUGGAGGCAACAUAUCGUGUCUCUGGUAUUAUCAGUUAGUCCAUGUCCGGGCGUGAUCCCGUAUCACUUUGACAUGCAUUAUCUUGUAGCUUUGAAAAUUCUGCGGCUGUCCUCGCGAUGCCAGGUUUGCUAAUCACGUCGUGCUGGCCAGUUGUCCGGUUUGGAGAACGUAUCCAACCAAAGUUAAAAAGAAAAAAAUUGUGGAAAAACAAGCCUGUCCUUACGGUCAUCUUCUUCCACGGCCUACAAAUCCGAGAUGGGAACAAAGCGUAGAAGAUGACGUGGAGCCAAUAUCAUAGCAUGGGAGGAAGUAAGCUCAUGUGUUGGCCCAGAGAAUGGCUGCCUCGAGAUCUAAGAGAGAAGAAGGUGGUCGUGUACUCCCUCUCAUAUGAUGCUGAUACCGUCUAGUGGAAGGUAGGAGCAAUGCUGAAGACGUGCAAGAGAUUGACAAAGUCCUCGUCCAAAAAUUGAUCACCUGUUACGUACUUAUUGAGUUCUAGUACCGAUCUCUGAAAAUAAUUUAGCUUUGAGCAAUUCGAAACUAAAUAUUGACAAAUGAUGUCACCAACUUGGUCCAUGGCUGAAACGGUCACAUUUGUCUGCAGUAAGGAAUGAGGAUUGGAGCAGAUAAAAUCUAUCGAACUUGUGGUGCACAAUUUCAGAGGUUUGGUUCUAAAGAGCUUGAUUGUUUGACGAUAAAGGGGGAUACGAAGGCGUGCAGCCAUGGCUUCACCAAGGUCUGCUACAACAGGUGGACUUGGGUUUUGCAAUGCAGGACAAUCUCGUGGCGUGCAGAUGACAGGUCGCACAAACUCGGACAACCAAAAUGGUGCGGGAGGAAUCAUCACCAUGCGAGAAGGACGUCCAGAGGAAGAUUUAACAAUCUUUUGCGUGACAUGAGUGAGAUGGAGGGUGCCACAGACAACGAACUGGGAUCCGAUCACUUAUACACUGUCCAAAUCCCUGCCACACCAGACCACCCAAUGUCGGGAGAUCGACCGGUCCCCGGAAAGGGCAAGCAGCUUGGUGGUGUACGCGGUCCUACUUGCGCCGUCAUCAAUUGUGACGGGAAGGCGAUGCGCGACGAGCGCGGAGAAGACAUGACACCUUGUGAUUGCAACUUCAAGAUCUGCCGCGACUGCUACAUCGAUGCCCUCAACGGGUCUGGGAAAUGCCCUGGUUGUAAAGACGACUACACUGCGUCUGACGAGCCAGGUUUAGGGUUUAGGGUUUAGGGGAGGAGAAAGAGACCCAACAAAUCAUGGGCGGAGAGGCGGAAGGGAACGAGCGCAGGAGGGCGUUUGUCGUGGAUUGCAGUGCAUGCAUGCGCCCAACAAGAGGAGUGAUUGCAGUAGUGUAAGGAGGAGAGAGGUGCGGCAUGGUGCUAUUCCACGCACCAUGGAUGGAGAGUCGGAUUGAAAGGGCCGUUGUAGGGCGUUUAUCCUAGAUCGUGGUGCACGCAUGGGCCCCGUGCGAUGAAUGACUGCUGUGGUCUGAAGAGGGAAGAGGUGCGGCAUGGCUUUAUUCCACGCCAAUUCGACCAGGUUGCUCAUCUAAUGUGGCCGGUUCGAAACCUGGUUGCCAUUAGAAAUGGCAAGCCGCAAUCAGGGGUCACACUCGCAACCAUUUUUUUCCUUCUCUACGGCCGGCUUCUCUUCCUCUACGAUUGCUGGUCCUGCCUCUAAUCGUUUUUCUUUUCCUCUGUCCCGCGCGUCUCUUCUUCUUCGCUUGCUGGCGCUGCUCCUUUGUUUCACGCGUCUCCCUUUUCUUGCAGUGCUCUCAAUCAACGCUCGUAACAUCUUUGUCUGUGCUGGUCUCCUCCAUGUCCGCGCUCCAGUCCCCCUUUGUGUGCGCUGCUCCCUUCCCUAUUUUGGGUUCAGGGUUGCAUGUGAUGUAGGUGGAACAAUUGCACAAGAUUUUUAAAUUGUGGGAUUCUCCAUCCGAGGAGUUUCAAGUCAAAAUUGCCGCAUGCGACGAUAUUCAAGCAUCAACAACCAUAUAAGCGAUGUCCUAAUGAGGUGUUUAAAGAAUUUCCAGUAUCUUCUCUUACUUUGCUGGACACUCUUUUGGCCAUCGAACCUGCGGAUUGUGGAAGCGCUACUCGAGCUUUAGCCAGCGAGUUCUUCACGACGAAGCCUCUUGCUUGUGACCAAGUUUAUUUCCCGUGCUACACCCCUCAACGAUGCAACUGGUUCAUUUUGCAGUUUGCGUCAUGGAUAAUCGACGUGCUAUUUUUCAGCAUAGAGUGAACUCCAGAAUAAAAUUCGAGAGAUCUCUUGGCUUUAGUGGCCAUGGAUUGAGAGGCUACAUGGGCAGCGACUGUUUUUCAUAAUUGCGUACCUCUUUUUCACACUUUGGAAGUCUGUCUUUCUUGUAGUUGGUUGUCGACCUCCUUCAUACUGUUCGGCCCGCUUCAUAUCUUGCUUCAUAUCUUGCGUUGGUCAAAAAAGAGUUGAUGCAAAUUAUUUUUUUUAUUGCAGCUUACGGAACACACUCUGCGUGCGUUUCAAAAGUGAGGUUGUUGCGUGUGCACUAAUUUAUGCUGCGGCUUCCAGGCAUGAACUCGAAGUCUCUGACUAUCGACAAUUUUCACGUUGCUUGUUUUCCACAUCGAACCCUCCGCCACUGUCGCUGUUGCAGACAUUACGCGGUGCAGUCAAAGUAGAAAAACGAAGGAAAAAAGCUCUGAAAGCUGCAAGAAUUUGUCCAAGGUUGGACAUUGCUCGAGGAAAUCCUUCAUUGUGGAUCCGAAGUCAGGUUCCGUGAUCGAGCAAGACCAAGGUGACCUGAAUCUCCAACAUUUGAACGUCAGCCAGAACUCAGCAGGGAGCCUAACACCUGCAUGUGAAGAACCGUGUCAAUUGCGAGUUUGUCUUGUGGAGCCGAUCAAGGACGAGAACUUGGCCAUGCUGGUCCAAAACUUUUUCCUUGCCGGUAUGGCAACUUACUUCCUAGCCUUCAGCUUGCAAUGGCAGAUGGCUACUUGUGGUGCUCGCCAUCUUCCCACUCCAAGCAUUCGCUGCCACAUGGAUCAAAUGUUCUUAAUAAGACUUUAGGAGAUGUUGUAGCGCCGAGAUUUGGGCGAGGAUUGACUUGGGACUUUAGGAGAUGUUGUAGCGCCGAGAUCUAGGCGAGGAUUGAUUUGAGACUUUGAAAGAUGCUGUAGCGCCGAGAUCUGGGCGAGGAUUGACUGACAAGAGGGGAGAAAUUGAAUAAAAUCGUCCUGUACAAUAGUCAGCAAGAUUUUUUUAAAAGAGUCUGCCAAUGAAGAGGGGUUUCUUAUUCGUGGGCAAGUCGCAUGCAUUGGCUAUGGUGUCUCCCAGCUCUGCCUCUGCGGCUCUUACGGAAGAUCAACUUCAAAAGCUUACGUAGGCGAAUCGCUCUCGUCUUCCAGAAACCAAUGUUGUUUGCAACAACAAUAUAGGAGAACAUCCUAUACGGAUGCAAGAUGAUCACCGAGCAGGAGGUUCACGCUGCGGCGAUGGCGGCCAAUGUACACAACUUCAUCAGUGCAUUGCCUGCCAGAAUUGUUUCCGGGUUUGUGGGAUUCAGGACAAGCUCUUGUCAUCCUGGGAGGUCAAAAAAGGAGAGUAUGAGAAUCUACUUUCAGAAUUCCACAACAAAGACCGAGCUAUGCAAGAGCUUGAAGAAGCGCACCAACUUUGAGCUCAGCACACAAGUAGAUGUAGAAUUUUAGGGGUGGAUCCUGGUGGAGUCUUAAACAAUUGAUACUCUGGAAUUUCAAAACCUGAAAUUACAAGCCAUGUAUUGAAGUAGAUGCCGGUUUGAUAGUCAUUUGUUCUAACACAGUUAGGAUUGCCAAAAUACUAAGGAGCUUUACCCAAAAUCUGAUCGGGAGGUAACAUUCCGUCCUUUUAGCAGGUGACCUCAUGCCUGCUAAUAUUUGUUCAACUUUAAUAACAAGGUGCUAUUUUCUACCCA
Molecule: non-coding RNA, 4324 nt
Organism: Physcomitrium patens
Lineage: Eukaryota; Viridiplantae; Streptophyta; Bryopsida; Funariales; Funariaceae
Source: RefSeq, a predicted model, not a curated record